This 494-nucleotide ribosomal RNA is filed under the name uncultured bacterium. RNAcentral's name for it is "partial 16S ribosomal RNA". It matches the Rfam family "Bacterial small subunit ribosomal RNA", at positions 28 to 507 of the family's 1533-position model. The record is from RNAcentral.
GACGAACGCUGGCGGCGUGCUUAACACAUGCAAGUCGAACGGAAAGGCCUGCCUUUUGUUGUGGAUUCCGGGGGCUCGAGUGGCGAAAGGACGAGUAUAACGUGACUGUUAUGUUCCCAUAUUGGGUAUAAGCCGGGGAAACUGGCGCUAAUUCGCGCUUGGACCGCAGGGUGGUGUCUGUAGUGUCGAACGUUUUUGUAGUGCUUGGGGGUGGUCUGGCGGCGUAUCAGGUUGUUGGUGGGGUAAUGUUCGACGAAGGCGGUGGCGGGUAGCCGGCCUGAGAGGGUGGACGGGCACAUUGGGACUGAGAUACGGCCCAGACUCCUACGGGAGGCAGCAGUGGGGAAUAUUGCACAAUGGGCGGAAGCCUGAUGCGGCGACGCCGCGUGGGGGAUGACGGGCUUCGGGUUGUAAACUCCUUUCGACCGCGAGGAAGCCACCUGGUUGGAAGGGUGGUGACGGUAGUGGUAGAAGAAGCACCGGCUAACUACGUG